This 77-nucleotide transfer RNA is filed under the name Dictyoglomota bacterium. RNAcentral describes it as "Dictyoglomi bacterium (hydrothermal vent metagenome) tRNA-Pro". It matches the Rfam family "tRNA". From Rfam's summary of the family: Transfer RNA (tRNA) molecules are approximately 80 nucleotides in length. Their secondary structure includes four short double-helical elements and three loops (D, anti-codon, and T loops). The record is from RNAcentral. RNAcentral also lists the same sequence under 1 other name. Lineage: Bacteria; Pseudomonadati; Dictyoglomota.
CGGGGCGUAGCGCAGUAAGGUAGCGCACCUGGUUCGGGACCAGGGGGUCGGCGGUUCGAGCCCGCCCGCCCCGACCA